GACGAACGCUGGCGGCGUGCCUAACACAUGCAAGUCAAGGCGGUAGCAAUACCGACUGGCGCACGGGUGCGGAACACGUAGGUAAUCUGCCCUCAAGGGGGAGCACAACUCAUCGAAAGGUGAGCUAAAUCUCCGUAACAUAUUCUGGUGGCAUCAUCGGGAUAUCAAGCUUUCUUGGGGAUGAGCCUGCGUCUGAUUAGCUAGUUGGUAGUGUAACGGACUACCAAGGCUACGAUCAGUAGCUGGUCUGAGAGGAUGAUCAGCCACAUU
RNAcentral lists this ribosomal RNA (270 nucleotides) under uncultured bacterium. RNAcentral's name for it is "partial 16S ribosomal RNA". It matches the Rfam family "Bacterial small subunit ribosomal RNA", at positions 28 to 314 of the family's 1533-position model. The record is from RNAcentral.